Long non-coding RNA from Mizuhopecten yessoensis (Yesso scallop), 2057 nucleotides. RefSeq lists it as uncharacterized. The transcript is spliced from 3 exons. The record is from RefSeq and is a predicted model, not a curated record. Lineage: Eukaryota; Metazoa; Mollusca; Bivalvia; Pectinida; Pectinidae.
UUCAAAGGUAUACUAUGUAUUGUGAUUUUAUGAAUACUAUGUGUCUGCCUCAAUCAUCAGUAACAUGUAUAUUGAAUAUAUACCCCAUACUAGCUACCUGGUUAGUGAGAACGACCCCACCGAGUGAACAUCGCCAAAAAUUCGUCACGCUCUAUUGACCAAUGAGAGCGAGUUCACUUGAAACUCUAGGAUUAACUCUACAGACCAUAGUUUCAACAAUGUUACGUCAUUUGAUCCUUGAACCCUACCCGAUACCAACCCAUGCUAUUCCCGAGGUAAGUAGAGUUCAAAGAUGGCGGCGAUGGAUGGAGAAGAAGAAUUGUAAGUUGAAAUAGUGCCUUGUUAAUUGAUAUAUCACAACAAUUAAACAAAAUUUCAAAAUAAUUCGACUCCUUAAUAAGCCUAUAAGGGGGUCUUGUGUUGAUUUGCGCUAAUAUCUUUGAUUUCGUCUGAUAUGAAUGACAAUUCUGCCUAAGUAACUGAUAAAGUUGUACUUUUGUGCGGUUGUGUACUGAAUGCUGCUGUACGGUAAGCAGUUAUCAAUAUUUUGAUGAUGAAUGAUUAUGUUUUAAUCUUCGGAGCUAGGGCUAACGUUAAUUAAGGUAUUAUGCAUUCAAUUUUCUAGGGUACAGAUACAGUUUGAGGAGAACGGGGAAACUAUAAGGGCCCUUGUUCCACAGAAGUUUGCUUUAGAAAUACAGGAAACACAAACCACUGAUCCUGAAAGACACCAAUUUACAGAAAUAAAAUUAUGGCACAAGAAAGAUAUAACAGCACCAGCGAAUCGGAUAGGCCUAAAUCGGAGGAACCUAAAGUAGGCCUAACAGCCAAAGACACAAUUCAUGCUGGACAGAGAAGGAAGAGAGGUUCUUCAUCCAGCUGAGACUUGAAAUGGACUUGAAUUGUUCAACGGGAACAAGAGUCAUGAUCAGCUUUGGGGCAAGAUAAUGCAGUAGUUGAACAGUGAAGGAAUACAUGUGACAAAAGUUAAAAUUAUAAACAUGUGGAAAAUUUUAAAGAAAAAUUAUAAGGAAAUUUUAGACGAAAAUAAUAAAAUAAUAAAACUGGAAACUCACCAUAUCUGUGAAAUAUUUUGAGACUUGCAAUGCUGCAUGUAGAAACAAGGCGUCAUCAAAACCGAUUUGUUCGGUUGACACUAGUAAAACUAGUCCAAUCACCAAAGUUUCCACAUCAGUUUCAAGUUCAAUAGGACGUUCCCCAACAUCUUGUUCACAGACAUCCACUUCCAAUGGCAUUGUCAAUUCUGAUAAUAGUGCUUUUGGGGGGAAGGGAACUAAGAGAAAGAGGGAUGCCAAGGAACCAGAAACAUCUAAACAUGACAUUAUAAAUGUCAUGGCUUUACAACGUAAGGAAAAAAUGUCACUUAUGGACAAAAUUUUGAAUGUAUUCAAAGUGCUAGCUGGACAGGAACCAGAGGCUGAGGAAAGCGAGAGUAAUGAUUAGUAAUGAUUAGACAGUUGAAGUUUUAUCUGUAAAGUUGUAUUAUUUUUUAUGCAAAGGAUGCGGUUUUUGUUUUUUGUUUUUAUACACCCACCAACUGUACCGAACAUAUUUCAUUAUAUAAGUUUGCUAUCUGUCAUGUGACAAUGAUUACAUAGUUGCACUUUCGUCACAAGCAUUGUUAUUUUAAAUGCAAAGGAUGUAUUUUUUAUGCCUACCAACUGUGCCAAGCCUAUUAUGUUGUCACGCUAUCUGUUCUUGUUUUUACAUUACCAAUUUAGCAUGUGACCAUCGAAAAUGUAAUUCCACUUUCCUCAGUGAAGUACAACUGUAGGUUUUGUCUUGUUGCACUAAGAAUUUAAUGUUUCUUAGUAUGAUACUUUGAUUUUGUUUUAAUUUAUAAUAUAAAAAAUCAUUUGAAGGUGCCAUUAUGACAACCGUGCCGUUCAAAUAUCAGAAUCAUUUACAAACUAGUUAUAAAAAUAAUAAUACAGUACCCACAUAGUCAAUAUUUCUCCUUUUGAAGUAACUUUUUCUCUGAGGUAUUAUUGGUGUCAGCAGUACUUUUGUUGUUGUUUAUGUUUUGUUAAAAAAUG